AAGUCGUAACAAGGUAUCCGUAGGUGAACCUGCGGAAGGAUCAUUAUAAAAAUAUGAUUAAAAUUUGCUUGAGAUUGAUGGUUCACAACUAAAAAGAACCACCCGUGUUACUUCAAAGUAAAGCGUCAUUUAAAAACAAAGUAAACCUUUUUGAAAAACAAACAACUUUUGACGAUGGAUCUCUCGGCUCUCU
This 193-nucleotide unclassified non-coding RNA is filed under the name fungal sp. RNAcentral describes it as "partial internal transcribed spacer region". The stretch from base 1 to 46 matches the Rfam family "Eukaryotic small subunit ribosomal RNA", at positions 1786 to 1831 of the family's 1831-position model. The record is from RNAcentral. Lineage: Eukaryota; Fungi.